UACGGAAGGCAGCAGUGGAGAAUAUUGCACAAUGGGCGCAAGCCUGAUGCAGCCAUGCCGCGUGUAUGAAGAAGGCCUUCGGGUUGUAAAGUACUUUCAGUCGUGAGGAAGGUGUUAAGGUUAAUAACCUUAGCAAUUGACGUUAGCGACAGAAGAAGCACCGGCUAACUCCGUGCCAGCAGCCGCGGUAAUACGGAGGGUGCGAGCGUUAAUCGGAAUUACUGGGCGUAAAGGGCACGCAGGCGGUUAAUAAGUGGAUGUGAAUCCCCGGGCUUAACCUGGGAAUGGCAUUCAAGACUGGUUAGCUAGAGUCUUGUAGAGGGGGUAGAAUUCCAUGUGUAGCGGUGAAAUGCGUAGAGAUGUGGAGGAAUACCGGUGGCGAAGGCGGCCCCUGGGACAAAGACUGACGCUCAUGUGCGAAAGCGUGGGGAGCAAACAGGAUUAGGAUACC
This 451-nucleotide ribosomal RNA is filed under the name uncultured bacterium. Its description in RNAcentral is "bacterial SSU rRNA". It matches the Rfam family "Bacterial small subunit ribosomal RNA", at positions 340 to 786 of the family's 1533-position model. The record is from RNAcentral.